GAAGGAAACAAGCAAUCAAGAUCAAAGAUAUACAAAGCAAGAUUGCUCUACUCUCUGAUCGCAUUCGUGAUAAUAAUAUUAAGUCAACAUCAGAAUCAUCAAAUUCAUCGUCUGAAGCACCUGGAAAGCUAAAGCGAUUUCACUCCUUCACAACCAUGGAGCCAGAGAUAUUUGUUGGAUUUCAUGGAGCCGUUGAUCAACUGGUGGGACAUUUGGUGGAUGGAAGUGAUGAUCGUUACCCGCUUAUCUCUAUUUGUGGAAUGGGUGGUCUAAGUAAGACAACUCUUGCUCAAAAAAUAUAUAAUCAUCCAACCAUUAAAGCAUCCUUCGCUGGUUUAGCCUGGGUUUCCAUUUCGCAGAAGUGGCAAAAGAAACUUGUGUUGCAGCGAAUACUGAUAUGUCUCAUCCAGGAAAAGAAAGAGGAAAUUCUUACUUGGGACGAUGACAAGUUAGUGGAGAAUCUGCUAGAAAUUCAGCAGAGGAAAAAAUGCUUGAUAGUCCUUGAUGACAUAUGGACUACUGAUGCUUGGGAUUCUAUGAAAUCGGCCUUCACAACUGAAACAUCUCUGAGCAAAUUAAUGCUUACCAGCCGUAAUGUGGAGGUUGCUGAGCAUGUAAAUCGAGAAGGAUUCAUAUACCAACCAGAACGCCUAAAUGAAGAACAGAGUUGGGAGCUACUUAAGUUGAAAGCAGUUCCCAGAGGAUAUCAUCUAGGUAGAUACUUUACUUGCAUUUAUUAUGUUUCAUUCACUAGUACAUAUAGGUACACAUCCACUACAAAGAAUGAAGUUCAAGAAUAUACUAGAUCUGUUUCAACUCAGAUGACAUAUGUGAAGUUAAUAGUGUAGACUUGGAAAUUCCAGAUUUAGUCUAGUAUAACUUGUUUCGUGAUUUUAAACUUGCAAUUACAAAAGCUGUUUAAAAACCUAUCGACAAGUAAUUUUUUUACUAAGAAAAGAGGGUGAAAUAUCUUCGACAUUCAACCCUUGAUUACAUUUAGUGGUUCAUCUAUUAUAAAGGCAUAGCGAGAAAUUAUUUUAUUAGUCUAUAUGCAUUUGUCUGCACAUAAUAUGUAUGUGUUUGUGAUUCUUUGUUCUUGUGUGUUACAGAUUCCAAAGAAAUUUUGUCAGAGAUGGAAAAAUUGGGAAGAGAAAUGGUUAAAAAAUGUGCCGGUCUUCCACUAGCUAUAGUCAUUUUAGGCGGAAUUCUUGUAACAAAACUUUCACUGAUGGAGUGGGAGACGGUUUAUACUGAUAGUUUAAGUCCCCCGGAGAAGGGAAAAGGAUUGGGAGAAGUUCAGCAAAGAGAAUUAUUUCAUGUUCUACUUUGGAGUUACAAUGAUUUACCCCCACAAUUAAAGCCAUGUUUUUUGUAUUUAGGUAAAUUUGGUGAAGAUGAACAGAUAGAAGCAGAGACUCUAUAUCAGUUAUGGAUUGCAGAAGGGAUGGUACUGUCGACUGAUAAAAGGGAAGGAGAGACAAUGAUGCAAGUAGCUGAAUCGUAUAUGGGGGAACUGGUCCAUAGGAGUAUGGUUCAAGUGACAUAUCAAGAUAUGGAAAACUCGUGUACAAAGAUAAAAUCUUCCUCACUUCAUGACCUUAUGAGAGACCUAUCUCUGUACCAAGCGAAAGCAGAAGAUUUUUUUGAAGUUCUUGAUCUUCGAAAAAGAAACGAUUUGCAUCCCACUCCUUCGACAGAUUUCAGGUCGGUUGACACUCAACAACUUGUAGUUUAUUAUGAUGAGGUACAAAUAAGCAAAGAAAUUGAAUCCUACUUUGUUAAGAAAUCCGAUCAACAAUAUCGUUCAAUGUUCCUGUUAAGCGACGGUGUAUUCACUUGCUUUAGGUGGCCACUUUUGCCGAAAGUAGUUGGGUCACAUGUUGCCAAUUUCAGGUUCCUCAGAGUUUUUUCCUUGGAAAAUGCUAAAGUAGAUGGUAUACUUUAUCCUAGAAGUUUUGUGAGAGCUUUAGGAAGUCUUUUGUACUUGAGAUAUCUCAGUGUAAGCAUGGUGCUACUCCAAACUCUCAAACUAAGAGGGGUGUAUUGGAUUGGGAUUUUAAAGCAUUUUUUUGCAUUCAUAAAAUCCGAGGUUAUUCGAUUGGGAUUGUUUGAAAUCCAUUAAAAUCUUGAGGUAUUCAAUUGGGAUUUUAAAUUAUGCUACAAAAUCCGGUGGUAUUCAAUUGGGAUUUUAAAUUAUGCUUUAAAAUCCGAUGGUAUUCAAUUGAGAUUCUUUAAAAUCCAUUAAAAUCUGAUGGUAUUCAAAUGCUGAUGGAUUUUUUUGCAUUUCAUAAAAUGAUGGAUUUUGUGGCAUUCUUCAGUGUAUUUUAAGUUUUUUGAAAUCCCAUCAAAAUCAAUGGGAUUUUGAAGCAUUGUGCUUAAAUCAUAUAAACUCUGCGACAUUUUAUUAAGAAUCCGCACAAAAUCAAAAUCACACGCAAUCCAUUAAAAUCCAUAGACUAAAAACAAUCCAUUAAAAUCCCAAUCGAAUACACCCCGUAAAUCUAUUCGAUCGUAUAUCUAUUCCAUCAUGGUUUUCAAGAAAUAUUCUGGGCAAGAUGGGACAUUUGCGGCAUUUGUACUUGCCUCAUACUUCUCUUACAUCUAUAAAUGAUCAAAAAUUAGGGUUUGAUGGGUUGGGCAAGUUAGAGACACUGGAGAACUUCAGUAAUCUGUGGUGUGAGGCUAAGGAUCUUCCGAAACUAAUCAAUCUUCAGAAACUAACAUUAGUAGUAGCCGGUGUUCAUGAUGAUGUGGAAGAGACCAUGAAAAAUCUGGCAGCAUUAGCCUUGUCAUCAUCUUCAAAUCUCCGGUACUUGGGCCUUUCUCUUUUUCUAGUUGAUCAACCGGGAGAUAAAGUGAGAGAGUUGUUUUGGGAUUAUAAUUCCAUCCUUCAGAGAUUAAGCAUAAGUGGUCGGCUUGCAGAAUUGGCUCAAUUAUUUGAGAACCAACCGGGGAAUAUUAUGAAUAAUCAUGUUGAAGAAUCUUCAAUUCGUAUCACUUCCUUGAGGCUAUGGUUAUCGCUCCUGGGAGAUGACCCAAUGCCAGUACUGGAGAAGAUUCCUACACUGCGUAUUCUUGGUUUAUUCACAGAUACAUUUUUGGGGAAGGAGAUGGCGUGCUCGGCCAUGGGUUUCCCUAAACUAACCGAUCUUGUACUGGCCGACCUCCCCAACUUGGUUAAAUGGAAUAUAGAGGAAGGCAGCAUGCCCGUUCUCACCAAGUUAAAGAUUAGGCGUUGUUGGAUGUUAGAGGAGCUUCCAGAAGGUCUGGUAUUUCUCACUUCCCUUCAGCGUAUAAGGUUCUACAAUAUGCCUACAGAUUUCAUACAGAAAUUCCACAUGGAAGAUGGCAAACAAGGACAGGACUUUUACAGAGUUGCUCACGUUCCUGAGCUUGCUAUUUUGAGUGAGUAGAUUCCCAGAACCUAUUAAUUUCCUAUCUUGUGUUACUCAUAAAGGGGGUUUCUCCUUUAAUGUGGGUUUUUUUUUAUCAAGAUUGUGGCAAAUCCGGUAUAUUCUCGUUGUAUAAUAAGUUGGCCCAACAUUAUUUUAAUUUACAGAAAAGGUGGCUAAUGACCAAUGUUUUGAUAAAGAAGAGUCGUCUUUUGCCAUGGGAAAAAUGGUCUUUAGACAUUUUUUUGAAACAUAAAAAGAUUAUUGUAUUUUGAUUGAUUUCGAGAGAGAUUAACGGUCUAGAUUUUCUGAAAACUCAUGUAAUUUUGAUGAAAGAGAAUAAAAAUAUAGGCCACGAUGCAAAGCAUGACGAUAAAUGUCAUGUCCUCUUGAUGAUGGCACUAUAAAAAUUAACAUAGACGGGGCUCUAUUUUAUGAAAAGCAGAGUUAAUAGUUUCUCUGGCGUCGCUACGAAAUAUUUGAGCCAUUCACGUCUGAUUGGAUUACAGCAUACCAUAAUAACUUAGAACUAGGGAAUGGGACUACCAUAAACACCUGAUAGUGCAAAUCAAGUGAUACUAGCUCCUCCAGGUUACUCAUAUACAAUACUCAAUCAUUGAUUGGCGACAAAUAACUUUCGAUAUGGAUUCAUUAUCAACUUUAAUCUGUUCCAAGAAUCAGUAUCAGAUCAAGCUGCACAGAGAGAGCAUCAAAACCAAAGGCUUGUUGAAUAGGAUUAUAGGUGAUAAGUGAAAUUGACUUGUAAGGAAAAAUACAAUGAGUUUUAUAUUAUAUGUAGUAGAUAAUUUAUACAGAGGUUUGCCAGGUUGUUUUGCAUUUAUAAUAUUGCUGUAGCGUUGCCAUGUCUAAUUGUCUAUAUUAAAGUCAACUACGAUAAAUUUGUCACCAGUACUCUGACAAAGAAGUGUAAGAUUUCCAAAUGGCUGAAGCAGUAGUGGCAAUUGUUGCAAGACUUACUGAUUUAUUGAUUGAAAAACCACAGCUUCUUCAUGGACUGAAACAUGAAAUUUCAGAAGUCGAGACCAAGCUCCAGUUGAUAAAAUAAUUGUGGCUCUUUAUUAAACCCUCUUCUGCAUGUUUGUCUUUCUCAUGUAGAGUCAUAUUUGUUUUGUUCUGACCAAUAUUAUGCAGCCAUGAGCUCUUCAGUGGUUGAACUUAGCACCCACAUGCUUAUAGUUUAUAGUAACGACUUGCUUAUCUAGAAGCAUACACACAUGUAUACACUAUUAAUUAUUGAGCCCUUACGAUAUUACUUGCAUUGAAUAUUAGUGCCAGGAUGCUCAUAAACUAAUAUGCCAUGUUAGUUUCAGAUCUAUAUUAAAGUCAACUACCAUUAAUUUGUCACUAGUUCUCUGGAUUUUAGUGAUAUAGGUGAUUCUGACAAACGAGGCUAAGAAUUCUAAAUGGCUGAAGCAGUAGUGUCAAAAGUUGUGGCAAGGCUUACUGAUUUAUUGGUUGAAGAACCGGUGGCUCUUGAUGGACUCAAGGAUGAAAUUCAACAAGUGGUGAGCAAGCUCAAGUUAAUGAAGACAUUCUUAAGGGAUGCUGAUUCGAGGAUGAGUGAGGAUCAAGUCCGGACUUUGGUUGCUGACAUACGAGCACUUGCUUAUGAUUCUGAACAUGUUGUAGAAAGCUUUAUUGUUAAACCUUCAUCCUCUACAAGAAACAGAAGGAAACAAGCGAUCAAGAUCAAAGAUAUAGAAAACAAGAUUUCUCUACUCUCUGAUCGCAUUCAUGACAAUAAUAUUAAAUCAACAUCAGAAUCAUCAAAUUCAUCGUCUGAAGCACCUGGAAAGCUAAAGCGGUUUCACUCUUUCACAACCGCGGAGCCAGAGAUAUUUGUUGGAUUUCAUGGAGCCGUUGAUCAACUGGUGGGACAUUUGGUAAAUGAAAGUGAUGAUUGUUACCCGCUUAUCUCUAUUUGUGGAAUGGGAGGUCUAGGUAAGACAACUAUCGCUCAAAAAAUAUACAAUCAUCCAACCAUUAAAGCAACCUUUGCUGGUUUAGCCUGGGUUUCCAUUUCGCAGAAGUGGCAAAAGAAACUUGUGUUGCAGCGAAUACUGGUAUGUCUCAUCCAUGAAAAGAGAGAGGAAAUACUUACUUGGGACGAUGACAAGUUAGUGGAGAAUCUGCUAGAAAUCCAGCAGAGGAAAAAAUGCUUGAUAGUCCUUGAUGACAUAUGGACUACUGACGCUUGGGAUUCUAUGAAAUCGGCCUUCACAACUGAAACAUCUGUGAGCAAAUUAAUACUUACCAGCCGUAAUGUGGAUGUUGCUGUGCAUGUAAAUCCAGCAGGAUUCAUAUACCAACCAGAAUGCCUAAAUGCAGAACAAAGUUGGGAGCUACUUAAGUUGAAAGCAGUUCCCAGAGGAUAUCAUCGAGGUAGAUACUUUACUUUGCAUUUAUUAUGUUUCAUUCACUAUAGUACAUAUAGGUACACAUCCACUACAAUGAAUGAAGUUCAAGAAUAUAUAAGAUCUGUUUCAAUUCAGAUGAUAUAUGUAAAGUUAAUAGUGUAGACUUGGAAAUUCCAGAUUUAGUCUAGUAUAACCUGUUUCGUGAUUUCAAACUUGCAAUUACAAAAGCUGUUUGAAAACCUAUAGACAAGUAAUUUUUUACUAAGAAAAGAGGGUGAAAUAUCUUCGACAGUCAACCCUUAAUUACAGUGUAUAUGCAUUUGUCUGUACAUUAUAUGUAUGCGUUUGUGAUUCUUUGUUUUUGUGUGUUACAGAUUCCAAAGAUAUUUUUACAGAGAUGGAAAAAAUGGGAAGAGAAAUGGUUAAAAAAUGUGCCGGUCUUCCACUAGCUAUAGUCAUUUUAGGCGGAAUUCUUGUAACAAAACCUUCAGUGAUGGAGUGGGAGAAGGUAUAUGCUGAUAGUUUAUGGUCCCUGGAAAAGGGAAAAGGAUUGGGAGAAGAUCAGCAAAGAGAAUUAUUUCAUGUUCUACUCUGGAGUUACAAUGAUUUACCCCCACAAUUAAAGCCAUGUUUUCUGUAUUUAGGUAAAUUUGGUGAAGAUGAACAGAUAGAAACAGAGACUCUAUAUCAAUUAUGGAUUGCAGAAGGGAUGGUACUGUCGACUGAUAAAAGGGAAGGAGAGACAAUGAUGCAAGUAGCUGAGUCGUAUAUGGGGGAGCUGGUCCGUAGGAGUAUGGUUCAAGUAACGUAUCAAGACAUGGAAAACUCGCGUACAAAGAUAACAUCUUCCUCACUUCAUGACCUUAUGAGAGACCUGUCUCUCUCCCAAGCAAAAGAAGAAGAUUUUUCUGAAGUUAUUAAUCUUCGAGAAGGAAAAGAUUUUCAUCUCAAUCCUUCAGCAGAUUUCAGGUCGGCUGAAACUCGACAACUUGUAGUUUAUUAUGAUGAGGAAGAUAUAAGCAAACAAAUGAAAUCCUACUUUGUCAAGAAAUGCAAGCAACAACAAUAUCGAUCAAUGUUACUAUUCAGUGAGGGUGUAUUCACUUACUGUUGGUGCCCACGUUUGCCGAAAGUAGUGGGGUCACAUGUUGGCAAUUUCAGGUUCCUAAGAGUUUUUUCCAUGGAAAAUGCUAGAGUAGAAGGUGCACUUUAUCGUAGAAGUUUUGUGAGAGCAUUAGGAAGCCUUGUGUACUUGAGAUAUCUUAGUGUGAGGAAUGUGUGGUUGGCUUUGAUUCCAUCUAUAAAGAACAUGGUGCUACUCCAAACUCUCAAAUUAGAUCUACGCCUUCCUAUAUCUAUUCCAUCAUGGCUUUCAAGAAAUAUUCUGGGCAAGCUGGGACAUUUGCGGCAUUUGUAUUUGCCUCCUAGUGAAUGGACAGCUCCAAAGAAACAAAAAUUAAGGUUUGAUGGGUUGGGCAAGUUAGAGACAUUGGAGAACUUUAGAAAUAUGUGGUGUGAGGCUCAGGAUCUUCCGAAACUAAUCAAUCUUCAGAAACUAACAUUAGAAGUAGCCGGUGUUUAUGAUGAUGUGAAAGAGGCCCUGAAAAAUCUGUCAGCACUAGCCUUGUCAUCAUCUUCAAAUCUCGCCUACUUGGGACUUUCUCUUGUUUUAUACAAUCAACCAGGAGAGAAGGCGGGAGAGUUGUGGGAUUUUAAUUUCAUCCUUCAGAAAUUAAGCAUAACUGGUCAGCUUGUAGAAUUGGCUCAAUUAUUUGAGAACCAACCGCGGAAUAUCAUCAAUAAUCAUGUUGAAGAAUCUUCAAUUCGUAUCACUUCCUUGACGUUACGUUCAUCGCUCCUGGCAGAUGACCCAAUGCCAGUACUAGAGAAGAUUCCUACGCUGUGUAAUCUCGAUUUAUUCUUAGACUCAUUUGUGGGGAAGGAGAUGGUGUGCUCGUCCAUUGGUUUCCCGAAACUCACCAGUCUUAAACUGCUGCACCUCCCUAACUUGGUGAAAUGGAAUAUAGAGGAUGGCAGCAUGCCCCUUCUCACCAAGUUGUACAUUGAUUGUUGUUGGAUGUUAGAGGAGCUUCCAGAAGGCAUAAUAUUUCUCACUUCCCUUCAGCAUUUUGAGUUACGCGAUAUGCCUGCAGAUUUCAUACACAAACUCUGCACGGUAAAUGGCAAACAAGGACAAGACUUUUACAAAGUUGCUCACGUUCCUGACUUGUCUAUUAUCUAAGAGUAGAAUAAGGAGCUGAUCACAUCCAUCAUUGUAUUUUGAUUAAUUCAAGAACUCAAGAAGUUGUAAUUUUGAUGAAAGAAAGUAAAAAUAUAAGCCACGAUGAAAAGCAUGAAAAUAAAUGUUAUAUUCCGUAUUAUAAACAAGAGGUAAUUUCGAAAUGUAGAGCCACUGAUUAGUGAAGAGCUUUUAAAGCCUUGGAUCAGGUUUCAAAGGAGUGUCUAGAAUAUUAGGUACAUGUUAUCGAUGGUUGAUUUUAAAAAUUGGUACAUUUAUGUUGAUGUUGAAGUGAGGAAUUAUGGUUCGAGUAUUGAAUGUUGGUUUAUAAGUUUUGUAAGAAAUAAGAUUAUAAAACUUUUGAUAGUUACAUGAUUGAUGCUGAUAAAGCAUUUUUUAAGGAGUAUAAGACGAAGAACAUAGUAAAGUUUUUGUGUUAUGCUGCCUGGGUGAGGAAUGAGACGGUGAUUUUUGAGAUCAACUCGGAAGGCAGUGAGGAAAACUGAGGAGAAAGGUAGAGGGUUCGGGAAGGUCAAGAAGCCCAAUCAACGUUGUAUUUUGUGACCGAUUUGGAUCCAAAUUUGGAGAUUUGAUUUUCAAAAUUUAUUUCUAGGCGAAAAUUGAUGAGGAGGGUGCUGAGUUUUAUUUGAUUCUGAAGAUAAUGAAACUGGAGCCAAUAUGUUUGUUCGGUGAAAGAGAUGUUGUCCGGACGUGAGAAGUUCCAAGUACCGCAAGACACACUUGGACUUGUUUUUGUUGAAGCACAGUUUAUUUCUAGUUCUUCUAUAUGAACUACACACACAAAAUGUAUUUUCAUAAUAUGUUUGAGAUUGCUACACAUCCCUGAACUUAUUACACUCGAAUCUCACACAAGUUUUAGAUGAUAAUAGUACAAUCACAAACCAGCUAGCUAGCUCCAACGGAAUUCAGAUUCAGAGCAUAAAACGAAACCUUUUUCUUUAUUGUCAGAUAGUUUAAAUAAAACCUUAAAGUAAAACCAGCAAUUAAUUAAACUGCCAUGCAUAUGAGAAGUGCAGGUACAGAACACCUGUGUGUCUAACAAGAUACGCCCAUCAAUAAGUUUUAAAGCAUCCAACUAUUGCGAACCCCGAACUUAUUAUACUCGGAUCUAACUCAAGUUUGAGGUGAUAAUAAUACAAUUACAGAGCAGCCAACCCCAACAUCAACAAUAUUCAGCAGGGCAAUCAGAAUUUAGAAAACAGUUCAAACGAAACCUUAAAGUAAAACCAGCAACUAAAUUACCUUGAAUAUGAGAAUUGCAGGUAAAAAACACCAGAAAUGAAACUCCUGAACUUAUCUGCAACGUUAAUUCGCUAUGUGUCUAACAAGAUACGCCCAUCACUCAAUAAGUUUCAAAGCAUCCAACUAUUGUGAGGAUAGAAAAUUACCGAACCUGGUAAUUAUAAGCGGUUUAGAACCUUUGAUUGAAGCACCGGUCUCUGUGUAUUUAAAAAAUGUUUUCAGCCCCGCAACUGGAACCGGAAUAUGUUUGUACUCUUUCUUCCGGUAGUCAUACAAGAAGAGUUCCUCAGGACACUCAAACUCGAAGAGUUCAUCAUCAGGACACACAAACUCUUUCACUCCAGAAAACAGUCCACCACCCAAAUAAGAAUAUACCCAGAUUAUUUCACCUAGUUCAAUAUUUAACUUCUUAGUCCAAGAAAUUUUGCCAUCAAUAUGAUCUAAUGUCCAUAGACAUAUUUCUGAUCUUUCCCCAAUGGAUUCAAAGAUGACCCCUGCAGAACCUUCAAAAUCCAAAAUCUUUGAGUAAUAUGACACGGAACAAGGUAGUGGGACCACCGUACACACCUCAUUGUGCAAAUCAAACGAAACUAUAUCUCUGUGACCACCUGCAUACAACGCUCCAUUUAUCACAGGACCAAGUUCAAAAGUUAAGUCACAGAUGCUAAUGAUGUCAUGACAAUGAAUCUCUUUCCAGGAAUCACUAUUUGUUGAAUAUAUCUGCAAAAUUGGUGCAUCACUAGUAAAAAUGUUUUCGUGUAGAAAGCGGACAACCUUGUAGUCAUCGUAGAUGCUAUCAAAAGCAAAUGCUAGGGUACCGUGAACAUCGUCUCCCAAAGCCCUGGCAUAACGGGGAAAUCUAGGAAGUUCCUUGCACUGCUUGGUUGUUGGGUUCCAGAGGUAACAGUAUAUAUCGAAUACUAGACAUAUAAUGCCAUUAGAGGAACCAAUAACUGUGAACAGGCGCGGCUUAAGUAGAUAACAUUUAUAGCUGGGACAGACUAGUCGAGUAAUGUCUGUCAAAACCGAUGGUUCACCAAUCAUCAACACUGAAGCUUCCUCGUCCGCUCUAAUACGUCUGUAGUACGAGAGUGUUUUAAUAAAUUCGGGGUCUGAGAUAAUAGAUCGCCACGACUUGCAGACCGAGCUGCACCUCGUCAAUGACUUGGCGGGAAGCCGAUAAAAUAUUUCAGUAACCAUCUCAUCAGGCAAAACAAACUUUGAGCAUGCCAUUAUGUUCCAAGACGGUCGUCGAGCUCACGAAAAAUUACACCUGUGGAAACAAAACCAGAGCAAAUUUCGAGGCCAGUUGAAACAAGAAAAUCAAUUUGAACUUCAAUGCCACACAACAGUGUAACGAAUCAUAUACCCCAUCAUAUAACAAAGCCAAAAUUCAGAAAUUUAAUAAAUCCCUACUUCAAGCCCUAAAUCUUAAUAAAACAUCAACACACGUAUACCUAUACAACUUCAGGAUCAUAUACCCCCACAUGUAUACACAAACCAUAGUUACAAAUAACCGGGAUUACCAAUAUAUACCAAAUAUAAUCGAGGCUAAAUUCAGAUUUAGUUAACUUUUUUCACGUCAGAUCAAUUAGAUCUUAAAAUAUUAUUUUUACCAAUUUUUAACUAAAAGUCAAAAUUCAGAAAAAUCAUCUAUUAAAGUUUGGAAUUGAGUUGGAUCUUCACCGGUCCUGGACGCCAUCGUACACAAACAUUUUUAUAAAAAUAAUUGAACAUAGAACUUCGACAUAUUACAAAUGAAAAGCUCAAUAAGUUACGAAUUUUGAGAUAACAACGUCAAGAUGUGAAAUAAAAUGUAAACGCACACAUAAAUUUGCAAAAAUUAGGGUUUCACAAAAUGAAAAGUUAAUUACCUUCAAAUCUGGAGUGUAGACGAUGCUUUGAAGUCUCCAAUUAAUUCAAUUGUAUUGCCAGGGUCAGUGCUUUUUAUCGGGCGACGUACUAAUUGAGAAUUGACGAGGUCUCCAAUUAAUUUCAACUGUAUUGCCGGGGUCGGUGCUUUUUAUCGAGCGGCGUACUAAUUGAGAAUUGAGUAUCGGUUAAGCAUUUGUGCUUUGAGUAUCAAAACAUGGUUAAUAUUUUCCUAUAUACUCAUGUGUUACACACGUGAUGUGACGAGACUAAUAUAGCUUUUUUAAAGUUACUUUAUUGAGUUUCGAUCAAAAAAAAGAAAAAAGUUACUUUAUUGAGUUACACAUUUGUCAAAGGUGUAUCGUAUGUAAGAUGAAAGUUGAAUACCAUAGUAAUUAGGUGAAGAGAAUGCCAAAUUAUAUUGGGCUUAUUUAAAUUUGAAAAUUAUAUGUGAUAUUGUUUAAUAUUUUUUUUAUUGACAUUUAAAGACUCUUUAAGAGUUUUCUCUUUUCAUGUGAUUAAAGUGUUAAUAAAUUUUUCGUGUAAAAUAUGAAGAUAUCUUAGCUCUUGUCGCGAAUUCAAGGUGGUAAUGGACUUCCUCAUGUACCCAAUGAAUAUAUCUCAAUCGAAUUUGUUCUCCAGGAUUCGUUUGUGUUUUCAAGGGUUAAUUUUUGUUGAUCUUACACCUCUGUGCUGCGUCAUGAGGGCAGCUAAACUGGUAGUACAGCAGUGGCAAAAUGCUCGGAGCUUUGAAGUUUUGCACUAUUAAAAUUAACAUGGACGGGGCUCUAUUUUUUUAAAAGCAGAGUUAAUAGUUUCUCUUGCUUAAGUCUAACCCCAAGGGAUCCAAAAUCCAAAAUCUCUGGGUAUCUUUCCAUGGAUCUAGGGAUGGGGACUACCGUACACACCUCAUUGUGCAAAUCAAAUGAAACUAUGUCUCCCUGAUGACCCGUGUACAAAACUCCAGGAUCAGUAUUUGUCGAAUAUAGCUGCAGAACUAGAGGCAACAUGUUGUCUAAUUAGGGAUGAGUAUCGUGUCACUUCAAGACCUCUAUUAUGGCAAGUUCAACAAUAUCCUAAAAUGAGGUACUAAAUCAACAGUUCCAUUUUCCAAACCUUAUAAUUUUGUGCCGCUGUGAAUGCUAGCUACAUGUAAAUGCUUUUCAUGAAAUGCACGGAAGCCAUUCUUGGAUUACAAACGCGUGCCUACUUGAUAGGUUUACUUAAAUUUACAUAAACAAUUUAACUUAGAUUCAAAAAUUAGACCACAGUACGAAAGUAAAACCUGAAGUGCAGAAUGGAAAGGAAAACAGAAGCACCUUAUAUGUGAGGAUUUAGGUGCAGAACUCCUAGGACUAGUUUUAUAGACUUAAACACAUGUCUAAUAACGUAUAUAUAUAUGAUAUGACUUCUAGCACUUGGUUGAAAGAUAGAAAUCAUUGAAACACUUGGUUUGAACCCUUCGAUUGAAGAUAAGGUCUCUGUGUAUUUAAGGAAUGAUUUCCGUCUCCUACCUCGACUAGUUUAAAAGCUUCUCUUUGUAUAAUCAUACAAGACUGUAGUAUGGCCUUCAAGUCAUUCUCUGCCCCAAAAAAGUCCACUACCUAAGUAAGACUUUAUCCAUGGUAACUUAUCAUGCAUAAUGAGCUUUCUAGUCCAAGAGGCUUCGCCAUGAAUAUUAUCUAGUGUCCACAGACUUUUCGAGCCAUUCUCAUCUGAUUGGAUCACAGCAACAGAGCCAUUGAAUUCCGAAACAUCAGACAUUAAGGUUGUGUUCACUUGGAUGGAAUGGAAUGAGAGGAGAAUGGAAUGAAAAAUUAUAUAGAAAUUUUAUGGAGAAACAAGAAAGUAUGAGCUAAUAGUGACUAAAUAUGAAUGAGUUAAUUUUUUUUGUGAUUAAGAUUGUAAAGAAAUAUGAUGUAGAGAUGGAAUGAGCAUUCCUUCCAAAACAUGUGGGGUAGAAUUCUAGUUAAAAUAGUAUGAAUGGAAUGAUUGAAGGAAUGAAAAUUGUAUACAUUUUGUUAGAUCAACACCAUUUUUGAGUACAAAAUUCAUUCCAUUCUCCCUCCAUUCCAUUCACUCCAAGUGAACACAACCUAAUAACCUAGAAUAAGGGAAUGCAUGCACUGUAAACACCUCAUAGUGCAAAUCAACCGAGACAAGCCGUGCCUCAUGACCCAUAUACAAUACUCCAUCAAUGACAGGACCAAAUUUCAAACGCGGCUCAAGCAGCUCUCUAGAUAUGGACGUAUCACAAACAUGAAUCUCUUUCCACGCAUUAGUAUUUGCGGAAUCUGGUACAAAAUUAUCAGCGAUAAAGACAGAAUCGAGUAAUAGAAUGCCUUCUAGGAGUGAAUGAACCUAAAAACCUAAUAACUUUGUAGUCAUUAGAGAGAGAAUCAAAACCAAAGGCCAUUCGAUGAACUUGAUACAUAUAAUACCAUUACACGAACCAACAACCUCAAAACGGUGUGCUAUAUUUCGGAUAUAAUAUAUAGCAGAGUCUUUAGAGACAAAUUGAAGCUGUUGAUAAUCAUCAACUUCCCCAGAAAUCGAUAGUAGUGAAGCAUUCUUAUUAGCCCUAAAUUGGGUGUAAUCCAUGUGAGCCUUAAUGAAAUUCGGUUCGGAUAUAAUGGAGAGCCAUGACUUGCAAACAGACCUAAAGCGGAGCAAUGUCCUCACGGGAAGCCAACAAAGUAUUUCAAUACCAUCUUUUCCGGCAAAACGUACUUCAAUCUUGCCAUUGGGUGUCAAGCUAAAUUUUAUAUAUACUACACAAUAGCUGGGUUUUAUAAAGCAAACACAAUGAGGGAUAUCUUGCAGUUGAAUGUUAAAGCUGAAGAUAUGUACGUAUGACUAGAUAACAAUUUUAAAACAAAAGAGUUUAAAACCUACUCCCUCCAUCCCGUUGGAUUCUUUAUGAUUUCGUAUUUUCACUUUCACUCAUUUCUUUACAUUACAAACACUCUUAAAAUAAUUAAUGGGUCCCACCAUUAGUCUGUUGUUCCUGCCUUUUCACACUGCUUAUACUCUAUUAUAUCACUUUUAUAUAUCAAAAAUCAAUGAGGCCAACCAUUUUUUCAUUUUUCCUACCUUUUCACACUACCUUUACUCUAUUAUACCUCUUUUAUAUACUAAAAAUCAAUGAGUUCUACCACUUCAUCCACUUUUCUACUACUUUAUACGUAUUUUUUAAUCUUCGUGUCCAAACCCAAUCUAAUAAAUUGGGUGGGACAUAGGGAGUAUGUAUCACAGACUCAUAGUACCAGGCUUAUGUGUUAUGUCUAUUCUCUUGAGCUACCCAGGCCACUAGGAUGAGCAAAAUUGAACGAUAAACUAAAACCGUACAAAACUGUACCAAACAAAACCACACCAAUUGGAAACCGAACCAGAUAAAAACCGAACAAAUAAUAUGAUUUUUAUUUGGUUUUAAAUUUAUUAAAACCGAAUACAAACUGAACCGAAUCAUGAUAAUAAUUAUUAUAAAAAUGAUAUUUUAUAUAAAAUAAUAUAGUUAUAUAAAUGAGAAAAAGGUAUAUCAGAUUAAUUUGAUAUAAGUAGUGUGUAUAUAUGAGGUUAAACGGCAAGGUGCAUUUGUUUUUAAAUGUACCUAGAUUGUCGUUUCAUGAGAAACCUAUUAUUCCACCUUCAAUUCCUUAUUUCUUUAAGAAAUCAAGGAGACAAAACUAUAUACAUAUGUCGUAUAAUUGUGUAAUCAGGAGGUUUUAUAUGUCAUAUUACACACAAUUAGGACAUGUCCACAAAAAAUAGUAACAACAACGUGCAGCGAUCAGUUUUAUGGUUUCACCUCAUAUAAGCAGUAUCAGGUUAACCUGAUAUUCCUUUUACUCUAUAUAAAUAUAUAAAGUAAUAUAAUUAUAUAAAUAAUAUUAUAUGAAUAAUGUCUGCAACACAGAAAUAGCUUCAUGUGUGAUUAGUCUGUUCCUUUAUUAGUAUGCUCUCCUUUCCUGUUCAAUUCAUCUAUUCAUUUAUUUACUAGUAUCAUUGAUUCAAGUGUUUCAUCUAAGAUAUGACUUCUGUACAAGAACACGCUAAAUUUCUUUGGAAUUGGGAACUUAACACCUACUUGCAAGGAUAUAGUUGUAACCUUUUAGUAAGUCUACCCCCAAAUUAGAUAGUAAAUAUAUUAAAAAGCAUUUUAUAAAAUUGAUUUUAAAACCGAAACCGAAUUUCAAAAACCGAAACCGAACCAUUUACAUGGUUUGAUCUUUGGUUUCUAGUUUAGAAACCAAAUUAAUAUGGUUACCGCUUACCGUACACCGCCCCAAGCCACCCUACGCUCAUGUCUACUGCCCACCUCCAGCUUGCUUCUUUUUAUUAACUCAAAGUUACCCAACUAUCAAAAACAAUUCUUGAUAACAAUAAGUACAUUAGAUAAUCGGCUACUAGUUAAUUGGGUAUGGGCUUAUGAUGAGCAGCGCCUGCGUGUUCUGUUCUUCCUUCUCCGGGCUCCGACAAAUCCAUGGAUUUUGCUUCUUCUGCAGAGUGUAUGUUUAUAUUGUGUAUCUAUAUAUAUUUGUUGUUUUAAUUGAAAUUAUCAGGUCAUAACUAGGUUAAUUGUUAUGUUUUAUUAUGUGUUCAAUCAGUAAAUUGGUCUUUAUUUGUAUAUAUAAUCUGUGUAGUUGUGUUGAUUGCCCAAUUUUAAUAUUCUAUUGCUUUGUUUAGCAGCAAAAAGUUGAAAAAUUAUUCACUGGACAGUAGCAGUCUAACAGGAAGUUGAAAGAAAAGUGGGAAUUCUGUGAUUACAACAUUUAGGUAUGUUAAUAUCGUUUUACCUGUAUAUUUUUCCCCUGCUGUAACUUUGUAGGCCUUUAUCUAUUAUCUGGAUAUUAGAAUUGAUAGUUAAUAUUUGAUACUUAAAAUGCCAACCUUAUAUUUGUUAAGCAGUUAAUCAAUCAUGCAUCGAUUUGAUAAAAAAACUCCGAACAUCUCCCCCGUCAUCUCCAACACCUCCCCAGCCAGUAAUAGAUGAGCCUCCAAUUGGCAGUGUUCCUGAAUCUUCCCCACCAGAUUUAAACCCAGAAAUUGUUGUUGAUGAACUUGAAGCCGGGCCAGGGUUGCGAAAGAAUGUAAAUAUUGUUGCUCCAGAUGAGAGAGAGAGAUAGAAUUCGAAGGGCAUUCUUGCUAAAAGGACCAUUUUGUAUUUAAGAAAAACUUCUGGUUGUCAAUAUUUCUGCUCCUGUAUACUUUAGUAAGAACAUGUUAAUAUAUUAAGAAAAUACUUUGGUGAAAUAUUUUGGUGCCCCCUCUAAAAUUAGAUCCUAGAUCCGCCCCUGAGCUUGCCCAUGUCUAUAUUAAAUUCAAUUACCACUAAGUUAUAGUAUAGGAUAAGAAUUCCAAAUGGCUGAAACAGUAGUGUUAAUUAUUGAGCCCUUAAGAUAUUCUCUCUUUUUUUGCCACCAGCCCUUAUAAUAUUACUUGAAUUGAAUAUUUCUAUUAUUUUAGGAAAAAAAACCUUAUCAACUUAGUGCCAGGAUACUCAUAAACAAAUAUGCCAUGUUUGUUUCAGAUCUAUAUUAUAGUAAACUACCAUAAAUUUGUCACCAGUUCUCUGAAUUUUAGAGACAUAGGUGGUUCUGACCAAGAAGACAAAGAAUUCCAAAUGGCUGAAGCAGUAAUGUCAAUUGUUGUGGCAAGGCUUACUGAUUUAUUGAUUGAAGAACCCGUGGCUCUUCAUGGACUCAAGGAUGAAAUUCAACAAGUGGUGAGGAAGCUUGAGUUGAUGAAGACAUUCUUACGGGAUGCUGAUUCGAGGACAAGUGAGUAUCAAGUCCGGACUUUGGUUGGUGACAUACGAGCACUUGCUUAUGAUGCUGAACAUGUUGUAGAAAGCUUUAUUGUUAAAGCUUCAUCAACUGCAAGAAACAGAAGAAAACAAGCAAACAAGAUCAAAGAUAUAGAAAGCAAGAUGUCUCUCCUCUCUGAUCGCAUUCGUGAUAAUAAUAUUAAAUCAACAUCAGAAUCAUCAAAUUCAUCAUCUCAAGCACCUGGAAAGCUAAAGCGAUUUCACUCUUUCACAACCGUUGAGCCAGAGAUAUUUGUUGGAUUUCAUGGAGCCGUUAAUCAACUGGUGGGAUAUUUGGUCAAUGAAAGUGAUGAUCGUUACCCGCUUAUCUCUAUCUGUGGAAUGGGCGGUCUAGGUAAGACAACUCUCGCUCAAAAAAUAUACAAUCAUCCAACCAUUAAAGCAUCCUUUUCUGGUUUAGCCUGGGUUUCCAUUUCGCAGAAGUGGCAAAAGAAACUCGUGUUGCAGCGAAUACUGAUAUGUCUCAUCCAUGAAAAGAAAGAGGAAAUUCUUACUUGGGACGAUGACAAGUUAGUGGAGAAUCUGCUAGAAAUCCAGCAGAGGAAAAAAUGCUUGAUAGUGCUUGAUGACAUAUGGACUACCGAUGCUUGGGAUUCCAUAGAAUCGGCCUUCACAACUAAAACAUCUGGCAGCAAAUUAAUUCUUACCAGCCGUAAUGUGAAGGUUGCUGUGCAUGUAAAUCGAGAAGGAUUCAUAUACCAACCAGAAUGCCUAAAUGAAGAACAAAGUUGGGAGCUACUUAAGUUGAAAGCAGUUCCCAGAGGAUAUCAUCUAGGUAGAUACUAUACUUGCAUCUAUUAUGUUUCAUUCACUAUAGUACAUAUAGGUACGCAUUCACUCCAAAGAAUAAAGUUCAAGAAUAUUAUUGAAAAUGUCCAAAUCCAUGAUACUAGAUCCUUUUUCAACUCAGAUGAUAUAUGUAAAGUUAAUAGUGUAGACUUGGAAAUCCAGAUUUAGUCGAGCAUAACUUGUUUCAUGAUUCUAAACUUGCAAUUGCAAAAGAUGUUCGAAAACCUAUUUAACAGUAAGUAAUUUAUUACAAAGAUAAGAGAGCGAAAUAUCUUGGACAGUCAACCUUAAUUACAUUAGAGGUUUAUCUACAUAAAAGGCAUGGCGAGAAAUUAUUUUAGCCGAUUAUAAAAUUAAAAAGAAAUAAAUUUUAGUCUAUAUGCAUUUGUCUGACAUAAUAUGUUUUUGUUUGUGAUUCUUUGCUUUUGUGUGUUGCAGAUUCCAUAGAUAUUUUUAUUGAGAUGGAAAAAUUGGGAAGAGAAAUGGUUAAAAAAUGUGCCGGUCUUCCACUAGCUAUAGUCAUUUUAGGCGGAAUUCUUGUAACAAAACCUUCACUGAUGGAGUGGGAGAAGGUUUAUGCUGAUAGUUUAUGGUCCCUGCAGAAGGGAAAAGGAUUGGGAGAAGAUCAGCAAAGAGAAUUAUUUCAUGUUCUAGUCUGGAGUUACAAUGAUUUACCCCCACAAUUAAAGCCAUGUUUUCUGUACUUAGGUAAAUUUGGUGAAGAUGAACAGAUAAAAGCAGAGACUCUAUAUCAGUUGUGGAUUGCAGAAGGGAUGGUACUGUCGACUGAUAAAAGGGAAGGAGAGACAAUGAUGCAAGUAGCUGAAUCGUAUAUGGGGGAACUGGUCCAUAGGAGUAUGGUUCAAGUGACAUAUGAAGAUAUGGAGAACUCACAUACAAAGAUAAAAUCUUCCUCUCUUCAUGACCUUAUGAGAGACCUAUCUCUGUCCCAAGCAAAAGCAGAAGAUUUUUUUGAAGUUCUUGAUCUUCGAAAAGGAAACGAUUUUCAUCUCAAUCCUUCAGCAGAUUUCAGGUCGGUUGACACUCGACAGCUUGUAGUUUAUUAUGAUGAGGAACAUAUAUGCAAACAAAGUAAAUCCUACUUUGUCAAGAAAUGCAAGAAACAACAAUAUCGAUCAAUGUUACUAUUCGGUGAUGGUGUAUACACAGAUUUGCCGAAAGUAGUGGGGUCACGUGUUGCCAAUUUCAGGUUCCUAAGAGUUUUUUCCAUAAAAAAUGCAGCAGUGGAUGGUAUACUUUAUCCUAGAAGUUUUGUUAGAGCAUUAGGAAGCCUUGUAUACUUGAGAUAUCUUAGUGUGAGGAACGUUGACUUGUUAUUGGUUCCAUCUAUAGAGAAUAUGGUGCUACUCCAAACUCUCAGAUUAGAUCCAUUCAAUCGUAUAUCUAUUCCAUCAUGGCUUUCAAGAAAUAUUCUGGGCAAGCUAGGACAUUUGCGGCAUUUGUAUUUACCUCCUCAUGAUUGUACAACUCCAAAGAAAGAAAAAUUAAGGCUUGGUGGAUUGGAUAAGUUAGAGACAUUGGAGAACUUCAGUAAUCUGUGGUGUGAGCCUAAGGAUCUUCCAAAACUAAUCAAUCUUCAAAAACUAACAUUAGAAGUAGCCGGUGUUGAUGAUGAUGUGAAAGAGAGCAUAAAAAAUCUGUCUGCACUAGUCGUGUCAUCAUCUUCAAAUCUCACGUACUUGGGACUUUCUCUUUUUUUAGAUGAUCAAGCAGGAGAGAACGCUAGAGAGUUGUUUUGGGAUUAUAAAUCCAUCCUUCAGAAAUUAAGGAUAAGUGGUCGGUUGGCAGAAUUGGCUCAAUUAGUUGAGAACCAACCGCGGAAUAAUCAUGUUGAAGAAUCUUCAAUUUGUAUCACUUCCUUGAAGUUACAGUACUCGCUCCUGGUAGAUGACCCGAUGCCAGUACUGGAGAAUAUUCCAACGCUGCGUAAUCUCGAUUUAUCCUACGACUCAUUUCUGGGGAAGGAGAUGGUGUGCUCGUCCGUGGGUUUCCCGAAACUCACCAGUCUUGUACUGCGCAGGCUCCCCAACUUGGUGAAAUGGAAUAUCGAGGAAGGAAGCAUGUCCGUUCUCACCAAGUUAGAGAUUGAUCGUUGUUGGAUGUUAGAGGAGCUUCCAGAAGGUCUGAUAUUUCUCACUUCCCUUCAGCAUUUAUCGUUUUUCUGGAUGGCUACAGAUUUCAUAAACAAAGUCCGCACGGUAAAUGGCAAACAAGGACAGGACUUUUAUAGAGUUGCUCACGUUCCUGACUUUUCUAUUUUCAAUGGGACUGACUGGCAAUAUGUAGAAUAAGGAGCUGGUCACUUCUAGAAUCCCACAACCGGUCAAUUUCCUAUUUUUCGUUAUCCAUAAAUGAAUAUUCUUCUUUAAUGUGUUUUUUUUUUUUAUCAAGGUUUGCAACAAAUAUGAUAUAUUCUGGUUGCAUAAUUUAAUAUCUAUUCUGUUUGUAUAAACGAAUGUUCGAAAUAUUAGGUAUGUGUCAUUGUUGGUUGAUACAAGUUUUAUAGAUUUUGUCUGAAACAGGAUAAAACUUUUGAUGUUUACACAACCAAUGAUGAUAAAGUACAUUUUUAAGGAGUAUAAGAGGAAGAAAUGAGUAAAGGUUUUGCCUUAUGCUGCUUGGGUGAGGAAUAGGUCGUUGGGUUUUGAAACCAAUACCAGUUAUUUAGGUAAAUAUGGUGAAGAUGAACAGAUAGAAAUAGAGACUCUAUAUCAGUUAUGGAUUGCAGAAGGGAUGGUACUGUCGACUGAUAAAAGGGAAGGAGAGACAAUGAUGCAAGUAGCUGAAUCGUAUAUGGGGGAACUGGUCCAUAGGAGUAUGGUUCAAGUGACAUUUCAAGAUAUGGAAAACUCGCGUACAAAGAUAAGAUCUUCCUCACUUCAUGACCUUAUGAGAGACCUAUCUCUCUCCCAAGCAAAAGCAGAAGAUUUUUCUGAAGUUAUUGAUCUUCGAGAAGGAAAUAAUUUUCAUCUUAAUCCUUCGGCAGAUUUCAGGUCGGAUGACACUCGACAACUUGUCGUUUAUUAUGAUGAGGAACAUAUAAGCAAACAAAUUAAAUCCUACUUUGUCAAGAAAUGCAAGCAACAACAAUAUCGAUCAAUGUUACUAUUCGGUGAUGGUGCAUACACAGAUUUGCCGAAAGUAGUGGGGUCACAUGUUGCCAAUUUCAGGUUCCUAAGAGUUUUUUCCGUGGAAAAUGCUGAAGUAGAUGGUAAACUUUAUCCUAGAAGUUUUGUGAGAGCACUAGGAAGCCUUGUGUACUUGAGAUAUCUUAGUGUAAGGAAUGUUUCCUUGUCAAUGAUUCCAUCUAUACAGAACAUGGUGCUACUUCAAACUCUCAAAUUAGAUCUAUUCAGACCUAUAUCUAUUCCAUCAUGGCUUUCAAGAAACAUUCUGGGCAAGCUGAGACAUUUGCGGCAUUUGUAUUUACCUCUUAGUGCUGAUUGGACACCUCCAAAGACACAAAAAUUAAGGUUUGAUGGUUUGGGCAAGUUAGAGACAUUGGAGAACUUCUGUAAUUUGUGGUGUGAGGUUGACGAUCUUCCGAAACUAAUCAAUCUUCAGAAACUAACAUUAGAAAUAUACAGUGUUCGUGAUGAUGGGAAAGAGACCAUGGAAAAUCUGUCCUUGCCAUCAUCUUCAAAUCUCGGGUACUUGGGACUUUCUCUUAAUUUUUACGAUCAACCAGGAGAGACUGUGAGAGAGUUGUUUUGGGAUUAUAAAUCCAUCCUUCAGAAAUUAAGCAUAUGUGGUCGACUUGCAGAAUUGGCUCAAUUAUUUGAGAACCAACCGCGAAAUAUUAUCAAUAAUCAUGUUGAAGAAUCUUCAAUUCGUAUCACUUCCUUGAAGCUAUGGUUAUCGCUCCUGGUAGAUGACCCAAUGCCGGUACUCGAGAAGAUUCCUAUGCUGCGUAAUCUCAAUUUAUCUGUAGACUCAUAUGUGGGGAAGGCGAUGGUGUGCUCGUCCAUGGGUUUCCCGAAACUCACCACUCUUGAACUGCGCAAGCUCCCCAACUUGGUGAAAUGGAAUAUAGAGGAAGGCAGCAUGUCUGUUCUCACCAACUUAACGAUUACUAGUUGCUUGAUGUUAGAGGAGCUUCCAGAAGGUCUGACAUUUCUCACUUCCCUUCAGCAUUUAUCGUUACGCUAUAUGCCUACAGAUUUCAUAUACAAACUCCGAACGGAAGAUGGCAAAAAAGGACAGGACUUUUACAAAGUUGCUCACGUUCCUCUCUUUUCUAUUUUCAAUGGGACUCCCUGGCAAUAUGUAGAAUUAGAAUAAGGAGCUGAUAGAAUCCCAGAACCUGUUAAUUUCCUAUUUUUCGUUACUCAUAAUUGAGUUUUCUUCUUCAAUGUGGUUUUUUAAAACAUAAAUACAAUAUUUGACCGUAAUAUUGUAAAUUUGAAACCCGGGCUACCAAAGAUGUAAAAAUAGAUAAAAUUGUGCUUGAGAGACCAAAUGAACCAAUUUAUUUUUUAAAUUCCGCUUAUAUGAUUUGUUCUUCGACUAGCUUAGAGCGACUUAUCGUAGGACUAUCAAUGUACUGAAAAGGAUUAUAGUUAUCCCUUAUCUGUAAUUCAAGGGAUGCAUAUAUAGAUAAAUUACUGUACCUCAAACUCUACUCUGUUUUUAUGGUAGUUGACAUUUAUUUGGGUGAAAAAUGCAGAUAAUUUAAACAAUUUAUUUGUAAUCCUUCUAUAUGAACUACACAAACGAAAUGUAUUUUCCUGAGAUGUUUAAGCUUGUCACGCAUCCCUGAACUUAUUAUACUCGGAUCUCACACAAGUUUAAGAUGAUAAUAACAGAACUACAGAGCAACCAACUCCAACUUUGAGAGCAACUCCAAUGCAAUGCUAUACUUGGUUCUAUUGCUAUAUUAUAGCAUCAAAAGUAAAAAAACUCAACUCCAAAGGGGUGCUAUAUUUGGAUGCAUCCAUGCAUAGAUGCAUCCUUGGUUCUAUAUUUGAAACCACGGAUGGAUCCAUCAAUGUUGCCACAUCAUCAAGAGCUAGAAAUUGGAAACUAGUUAAUGAGUUAAUGAGUUAGGUAAAAGUUAAUGAGUUUGUUCUAUAUACAAGUUAGGUAAAAAUUAAUGAGUUGGUUAAAUUUGAAACUAGUUAUAGAACUUGGCAUUGGAGUGCAAGUUUUAUUUUAGCACCAAAAAACACUUUUUGGUGCUAUAUUAUAGCAAUAGCAAUAGAUAUAUAGCAUCUAGCAUUGGACUUGCUCUGACAAUUUAGAAUUCAGAGUAUAGUUGAAACGAAAACUUAAAGUACAACCAGCAACUAAACUACCUUGCAUAUGAGGAUUGCAGGUACAAAACUCCCGAAACGAAACUCCUGAAUUCAUCCCGAACGUUACUCGCUAUGUGUCUAACAAGAUAAGCCCAUCAAUCAAUAAGUUUCAAAGCAUCCAACUAUUGCGAGGAUAGAAAAUUACCGAACCUAUUAAUUCUAAGCGGUUCAGAACCUUUGAUUGAAGCACUGGUCUCUGUGAAUUUUAAAAAAAAAAUCAGCCCCACCACUGGAACCGGAAUAUGUUUGUACUCUUUCUUCAUGUAGUCAUACAAGAAGAGUUCAUCAGGACACAAAAUCUCUUUCACUCGAGAAAAAAGUCCACCACCCAAAUUAGAAUAUACCCAGAUUAUUUCACCUAGAGCAAUAUUUAACUUCUUACUCCAAGAAAUGUUUCCAUCAAUAUGAUUUAUCGUCCAUAGACAUAUUUCUGAUCUUUCCCCAAUGGAUUCGAAGAUGACCCCUGCAGAAUCUUCAAAAUACAAAAUCUAGGAACUUCCUUGUACUGCUUGGUUGUUGGGUACAUCACCAGUAAUAAUGUUUUCGGGUAGAAGCUGGACAUCCAGGUAAAAGAGCGAGUAUUUUUUUCAGGAUUAUGUGAAAAGUACGAAGUAUAAGAGCAAGCAUCUCCUUGUACAUAUUUAUUAGCUAUAAUAUGAUAUACAGAUAAUCAUCUAAAAUUAUAACUAAGCAUCUCGAAGGGUAGUAUAUGCAUAUUUAUUAGUUAUAAUAUGAUAUAUGGAUAAUCAUCUAAAAUUAUAGCUAAGAGGUCCUAGAUUCACUCCAAUGGUGUUAUCUAUAAUUAUAUUAUCUAAAAUUAUAAAUAAUAGCUUUAGAGGUUUUACAAAUGUAGCUACUCCAAUUUUAGUUAUCUAUAUUUUUUUGCUAAGAGGUAAUGGUUGGAGUGCUUAACUUUUUACAUAAUAUCUAAAUAGUGUCACUAGAUGCCAAAUAGAUGCCAUGUAGAUAAUUUAGCUUAUGGUUUUAGUCCCUUGGAGAUGCUCAGGUCUUAGAUUCACUCCAAUGGUGUUAUGUAUAAUUAUAUUAUCUAAAAUUAUACAUAAUAGAUUUAGAGGUUUUACAAAUGUAGCUACCCCAAUUUUAGUUAUCUAAACUUUUUUGCUAAGAGAUAAUGGUUGGAGUGCUUAACUUUUUACAUAAUAUCUAAAUAGUGCCACUAGAUGCCAACUAGAUGUCAUGUAGAUAAUUUAGCUAAUGGUUUUAGAGCAUCUCCAGCAGCUUCCAUAUAUGGUGUCCUAAGCUAUUAAUACAAGGAAUAUAACAUAAAACACAACUACAGCAGAGUCCUAGCCAUCCCUUAAAAAGUUAGGAUGACCACUUCAUUCCUCAUUUUUAAGGACUGUGGAACCAUUCCUCAUACUAUUUUGAAGAAUAAAAUAUUCACUUUUCUCUUUUCCCCCCUCUUUCCCNAAGAUGCUCUAAGAAGUCAGACUUGAAAUUAUCAGUAAAAUCAAACCAAACAUGCUCGCUAUAUAUCCCGCUUAGAGGGGUCUGUUGACAAAAUAAUACUAAUUCAACUUCAAGUCCGAGGAGGGUAAAACUUUAAGUGGAACUAGCUUUCUAACCCUGCAAAAGCACGGUUGUUUUAAAUUAUUUUAUCAAUAUUUUUUUAUAUCUCUUUGUUCAUCUUUUUUAAAUUGAGAUUAUUUAUAUUAUAAAAGUAAUUUCAGUUUUAUAUUUAUUUGUAUUUUAAGUCAUAUUAUGUUGAUGUCUGUACACACUAUUAUGUUAUUUGUUAAAAUAUAAAUAUAAAAAUAUAUAUAAUUAAAUUAUCACUCACAAAAAAUUAUUGAAAAUUUGAUAAAAUGAGAUUUUUGACAUAUCAAAGAUUUUGUCAUAUAGUUAUUUAUUAUAUACAUAACUAUAUAUACAUAAUUUUAUCAAAUCAUAAUAAUUAAAUAAUUUUAAAAAUCGGCCGAUUAAUCGAUAAUCGAAUGGGUUUUUAAGCUGAUUUGACAAAAUUCGGUUAAAUCAAAGAUUAAUUGGUCAAAAUUUGAAAAAUCAAUCGAAAAUCAGGCAGAAUGUUAAAAUUUACAAAAAUUAUGGAAAAUUUUUAAAAUUUUAAAAAUAAUUAUAUAUAUUAAUAAAUUAAUUUUAAAUAAUGAUCAUGUUAAUCAUAAUGAGAUGAUAAGGUAAGAAUAAACCUGCCAAGGUGCUCAAAAACUUAUAUGUGGUCUAUAUUGAGUCAACUACGAGUUUGGUUCUGACCAAGAAGGCAAAGAAUUCCAAAUGGCUGAAGCAGUAGUGUCAAUUGUUGUGGCAAGGCUUACUGAUUUAUUGAUUCAAGAACCGGUGGCUCUUCAUGGACUACUCAAGGAUAAAAUUCAACAAGUGAUAACCAAGCUCCAGUUGAUGAAGACAUUUUUACGGGAUGCUGAUUCAAGGAUAACUGAGCACAAAGUCCGGACUUUGGUUGCUGACAUACGAGCACUUGCUUAUGAUGCUGAACAUGUUGUAGAAAGCUUUAUUGUUAAACCUUCAUCCUCUGCAAGAAACAGAAGGAAACAAGCAAUCAAGAUCAAAGAUAUACAAAGCAAGAUGUCUCUGCUCUCUGAUCGCAUUGGUGAUAAUAAUAUUAAAUCAACAUCAGAAAUUCAGAAUCAUCAAUUUCAUUGUCUGAAGCACCUGGACAGCUAAAGCGAUUUUACUCUUUCACAACCAUGGAGCCAGAGAUAUUUGUUGGAUUUCAUGGAGCCGUUGAUCGACUGGUGGGACAUUUGGUGAAUGAAAGUGAUGAUUGUUACCCGCUUAUCUCUAUUUGUGGAAUGUGAGGUCUAGGUAAGACAACUGUGGCUCAAAAAAUAUACAAUCAUCCAACCAUUAAAGCAACCUUUGCUGGUUUAGCCUGGGUUUCCAUUUCGCAGAAGUGGCAAAAGAAACUUGUGUUGCAGCGAAUACUGAUAUGUCUCAUCCAUGAAAAGAAAGAGGAAAUUCUUACUUGGGACGAUGAAAAGUUAGUGGAGAAUCUG
RNAcentral lists this long non-coding RNA (26065 nucleotides) under Daucus carota (carrot). RNAcentral describes it as "long non-coding RNA (DCAR_LNC002520)". Lineage: Eukaryota; Viridiplantae; Streptophyta; Magnoliopsida; Apiales; Apiaceae. The record is from RNAcentral.